GAUGAACGCUGGCGGCGUGCCUAAUACAUGCAAGUCGAGCGAACAGACGAGGAGCUUGCUCCUUUGACGUUAGCGGCGGACGGGUGAGUAACACGUGGAUAACCUACCUAUAAGACUGGGAUAACUUCGGGAAACCGGAGCUAAUACCGGAUAACAUGUUGAACCGCAUGGUUCAACAGUGAAGGACGGUCUUGCUGUCGCUUAUAGAUGGAUCCGCGCCGCAUUAGCUAGUUGGUAAGGUAACGGCUUACCAAGGCAACGAUGCGUAGCCGACCUGAGAGGGUGAUCGGCCACACUGGAACUGAGACACGGUCCAGACUCCUACGGGAGGCAGCAGUAGGGAAUCUUCCGCAAUGGGCGAAAGCCUGACGGAGCAACGCCGCGUGAGUGAAGAAGGUCUUCGGAUCGUAAAACUCUGUUAUUAGGGAAGAACAAAUGUGUAAGUAACUAUGCACGUCUUGACGGUACCUAAUCAGAAAGCCACGGCUAACUACGUG
This 497-nucleotide ribosomal RNA is filed under the name uncultured bacterium. RNAcentral describes it as "partial 16S ribosomal RNA". It matches the Rfam family "Bacterial small subunit ribosomal RNA", at positions 28 to 507 of the family's 1533-position model. The record is from RNAcentral.